RNAcentral lists this ribosomal RNA (460 nucleotides) under uncultured bacterium. RNAcentral's name for it is "partial 16S ribosomal RNA". It matches the Rfam family "Bacterial small subunit ribosomal RNA", at positions 338 to 795 of the family's 1533-position model. The record is from RNAcentral.
CCUACGGGAGGCAGCAGUGAGGAAUAUUGGUCAAUGGGCGCAAGCCUGAACCAGCCAAGUCGCGUGAGGGAGGACGGCCCUACGGGUUGUAAACCUCUUUUGCCGGGGAGCAACGGGCGUCACGUGUGGCGCCACUGAGAGUACCCGGAGAAAAAGCAUCGGCUAACUCCGUGCCAGCAGCCGCGGUACUACGGAGGUUGCGAGCGUUAUCGGGAUUUAUUGGGUUAAAGGGGUGCGUAGGCGGAUCGUUAAGUCAGUGGUCAAAUUGGGGGGUUAAACCCCUUCCCGCCAUUGAAACUGGCGUUCUUGAGUGGAAGAGAAGUAGGCGGAAUGCGGGGUGUAGCGGUGAAAUGCAUAGAUAUCACGCAGAACCCCGAUUGCGAAGGCAGCAUGCCGGCUUCCGACUGACACUGAGGCACGAAAGCGUGGGGAGCAAACAGGAUUAGAUACCCCAGUAGUC